UACGUAGGGGGCAAGCGUUGUCCGGAAUCAUUGGGCGUAAAGCGCGUGUAGGCGGCCCGGUAAGUCCGCUGUGAAAGUCGGGGGCUCAACCCUCGAAAGCCGGUGGAUACUGUCGGGCUCGAGUACGGGAGAGGCGAGUGGAAUUCCUGGUGUAGCGGUGAAAUGCGCAGAUAUCAGGAGGAACACCAAUUGCGAAGGCAGCUCGCUGGGACGUUACUGACGCUGAGACGCGAAAGCGUGGGGAGCAAACAGG
RNAcentral lists this ribosomal RNA (253 nucleotides) under uncultured bacterium. RNAcentral describes it as "partial 16S ribosomal RNA". It matches the Rfam family "Bacterial small subunit ribosomal RNA", at positions 524 to 776 of the family's 1533-position model. The record is from RNAcentral.